CAACUAAUAGUUUAUAAAAAACAUUUGUUUUGGAGACUUAAAAAAAUCAAAAUUUUAGUUGA
Molecule: transfer RNA, 62 nt
Filed under: Tituria sagittata
Lineage: Eukaryota; Metazoa; Arthropoda; Insecta; Hemiptera; Cicadellidae
Description: tRNA-Pro
Source: RNAcentral